RNAcentral lists this ribosomal RNA (492 nucleotides) under uncultured bacterium. Its description in RNAcentral is "partial 16S ribosomal RNA". It matches the Rfam family "Bacterial small subunit ribosomal RNA", at positions 29 to 507 of the family's 1533-position model. The record is from RNAcentral.
AGUGAACGCUGGCGGUAGGCCUAACACAUGCAAGUCGAACGGCAGCACAGUAAGAGCUUGCUCUUACGGGUGGCGAGUGGCGGACGGGAGAGGAAUAUAACGGAAUCUACUUUUUCGUGGGGGAUAACGAAGGGAAACUUACGCUAAUACCGCAUACGCCCUACGGGUGAAAGCAGGGGAUCUUCUGACCUUGCGCGAUUGAAUGAGCCGCUGACGGAUUAGCUAGUUGGCGGGGUAAAGGCCAACCAAGGCGACGAUCCGUAGCCGGUCUGAGAGGAUGGUCGGCCACAUUGGAACGUAGACACGGACCAGACGCCUACGGGAGGCAGCAGUGGGGAAUAUUGGACAAUGGGGGCAAACCUGAUCCAGCCAUACCGCGUGGGUGAAGAAGGCGUUCGGGUUGUAAAGCCCUUUUGUGGGGAAAGAAAAGCAGCAGGUUAAUACCCCGCUGUUCUGACGGUACCCAAAGAAUAAGCACCGGCUAACUUCGUG